This 405-nucleotide ribosomal RNA is filed under the name uncultured bacterium. RNAcentral's name for it is "bacterial SSU rRNA". It matches the Rfam family "Bacterial small subunit ribosomal RNA", at positions 1095 to 1502 of the family's 1533-position model. The record is from RNAcentral.
AGCGCAACCCUUAUCGUUAGUUGCUACCAUUAAGUUGAGCACUCUAGCGAGACUGCCUGGGUUAACCAGGAGGAAGGUGGGGAUGACGUCAAAUCAUCAUGCCCCUUAUGUCUAGGGCUACACACGUGCUACAAUGGCCGGUACAACGAGAAGCAAACCCGUGAGGGGGAGCCAAACUAAAAAACCGGUCCCAGUUCGGAUUGUAGGCUGAAACUCGCCUACAUGAAGUUGGAGUUGCUAGUAAUCGCGAAUCAGAAUGUCGCGGUGAAUACGUUCCCGGGUCUUGUACACACCGCCCGUCACACCAUGAGAGCCGGUAACACCCGAAGCCUGUGAGGUAACCGCAAGGAGCCAGCAGUCGAAGGUGGGAUUGGUGAUUGGGGUGAAGUCGUAACAAGGUAGCCG